Molecule: ribosomal RNA, 253 nt
Filed under: uncultured bacterium
Lineage: Bacteria
Description: partial 16S ribosomal RNA
Rfam family: Bacterial small subunit ribosomal RNA
Source: RNAcentral
UACGUAGGGUGCAAGCGUUAAUCGGAAUUACUGGGCGUAAAGCGUGCGCAGGCGGUUGUGUAAGACAGAUGUGAAAUCCCCGGGCUCAACCUGGGAACUGCAUUUGUGACUGCACGGCUGGAGUGCGGCAGAGGGGGAUGGAAUUCCGCGUGUAGCAGUGAAAUGCGUAGAUAUGCGGAGGAACACCGAUGGCGAAGGCAAUCCCCUGGGCCUGAACUGACGCUCAUGCACGAAAGCGUGGGGAGCAAACAGG